AGCGCACUGUGUUGUUCCAAACCUUUGCCUUUGGGACUCCAAAACGAAGAAAGAGAGAGAAUGGCCUCGAAACCCGGUUUAGCUCCGACCACGUACUCUCCUGCUCCGACCCGUAAAUCCCGGCCACCCAUUUUCAAAGACUCCGAUGUCGAUUGGGUCCGUCCCGAUGGCCGCGGCUUCCACCAGUGUCGACCCGCCUUUUUCAGGACUGGUGCUGUCAAUGCUGCUGCAGGAUCAGCUUAUGCCGAGUUUGGAAAUACAAAGGUCAUUGUGUCUGUAUUUGGGCCCAGAGAAAGUAAGAAAGCAAUGAUGUAUAGUGAUGUAGGCCGGCUGAAUUGCAAUGUGAGCUAUACAACUUUUGCCACCCCAGUCCGUGGACAGGGAUCAGACCAUAAAGAAUUUUCCUCAAUGCUUCAUAAAGCUUUGGAAGGUGCAAUAAUGUUGGAAACUUUUCCCAAGACAACUGUAGAUGUUUUUGCAUUGGUGUUGGAAUCUGGUGGCAGUGAUAUUCCCGUUGUAAUAUCUUGUGCAAGCCUUGCCUUGGCUGAUGCAGGGAUUAUGAUGUAUGACCUCGUUGCUGGAGUUUCAGUGUCUUGUCUUGGUACAAACCUUGUCAUUGAUCCAAUUUUGGAAGAGGAAAGCUGUCAGGAUGGAAACCUAAUGAUUACCUGUAUGCCUUCUCGUUAUGAGGUCACUCAGCUGACUGUUACAGGAGAAUGGUCUGCUGCAAAGAUGAAUGAGGCAAUGCAGCUUUGCCUUGAUGCUUGCUCAAAGCUUGUGACAAUAAUGAGGUCAUGUUUGAAAGAGGCUGCUUCUGCCACACAAGAUUAGAAAGAAGCUAUGAAUAGUAAUUUUGCCGAUUGAUACAAGUCACAUUUUUGAGCCAUUUGCCAUUCCUGGUUUCUUCCCUCUCCCUUUGUCAUCCUUUAAGGAUGAGUAAGUAAUUACAAAGUUUUGUGAGAUUGAUUGGUAUUUGCUCAAGUUUUUCCCAUUUGCUAAAAUUUCCCUGCAUUCCUCCGUGCUACCUGUGUAUUUUUCCAGCCG
Molecule: unclassified non-coding RNA, 1044 nt
Filed under: Hevea brasiliensis (rubber tree)
Lineage: Eukaryota; Viridiplantae; Streptophyta; Magnoliopsida; Malpighiales; Euphorbiaceae
Source: RNAcentral